This 216-nucleotide ribosomal RNA is filed under the name Glomeromycotina sp. Its description in RNAcentral is "partial small subunit ribosomal RNA". The stretch from base 40 to 216 matches the Rfam family "Eukaryotic small subunit ribosomal RNA", at positions 686 to 864 of the family's 1831-position model. Lineage: Eukaryota; Fungi; Glomeromycota. The record is from RNAcentral.
GGGUCAGUAGGUUGGUCGUGCCACCGGUACGUACUGGUCUCACUGAUUCCUCCUUCCUGAAGAACCGUAAUGCCAUUAAUUUGGUGUUGCGGGGAAACAGGACUGUUACUUUGAAAAGAUUAGAGUGUUUAAAGCAAGCUAACGCUUGGAUACAUUAGCAUGGAAUAAUGAAAUAGGACGAUCGAUCCUAUUUUGUUGGUUUCUAGGAUUGACGUA